Molecule: long non-coding RNA, 478 nt
Organism: Oncorhynchus gorbuscha (pink salmon)
Lineage: Eukaryota; Metazoa; Chordata; Actinopteri; Salmoniformes; Salmonidae
Exons: 3
Source: RefSeq, a predicted model, not a curated record
UCAGUGAAAUAGGUCAUUUGGAGAGCAGAGUGCUACAGUAAAACAGAAUGGUCAUCAGUGAAAUAGGUCAUUUGGAGAGCAGAGUGCUACAGUAAAACAGAAUGGUCAUCAGUGAAAUAGGUCAUUUGGAGAGCAUAGUGCUACAGUAAAACAGAAUGGUCAUCAGUGAAAUAGGUCAUUUGGAGAGCAGAGUGCUACAGUAAAACAGAAUGGUCAUCAGUGAAAUAGGUCAUUUGGAGAGCAGAGUGCUACAGUAAAACAGAAUGGUCAUCAGUGAAAUAGGUCAUUUGGAGAGCAGAGUGCUACAGUAAAACAGAAUGGUCAUCAGUGAAAUAGGUCAUUUGGAGAGCAGAGUGCUACAGUAAAACAGAAUGGUCAUCAGUGAAAUAGGUCAUUUGGAGAGCAGAGUGCUACAGUAAAACAGAAUGGUCAUCAGUGAAAUAGGUCAUUUGGAGAGCAGAGUGCUACAGUAAAACAG